Molecule: ribosomal RNA, 377 nt
Filed under: uncultured bacterium
Lineage: Bacteria
Description: bacterial SSU rRNA
Rfam family: Bacterial small subunit ribosomal RNA
Source: RNAcentral
ACACGUAGGGGGCAAGCGUUGUCCGGAAUUAUUGGGCGUAAAGGGCGUGUAGGCGGUUAAUUAAGUCAGGUGUGAAAACCCGGGGCUCAACCCCGUGAUUGCACCUGAAACUGGUUAACUUGAGGGCAAGAGAGGGAAGCGGAAUUCCUAGUGUAGCGGUGAAAUGCGUAGAUAUUAGGAGGAACACCAGUGGCGAAGGCGGCUUUCUGGCUUGACCCUGACGCUGAGGCGCGAAAGCGUGGGGAGCAAACAGGAUUAGAUACCCUGGCAGUCCACGCCGUAAACGAUGGGUACUAGGUGUAGGAGGUAUCGACCCCUUCUGUGCCGCAGCAAACGCAUUAAGUACCCCGCCUGGGGAGUACGUUCGCAAGAAUGAA